AGAUUUUUUGCUGAGCCAAAACACUUGUAACACAUACUGAGAAAAAGUUCAUAUUUCACAAGAGAUAAGCCUAAAUGAUUUAACAUUACUAGAUCUUAAAAACGUUACGCUAAACAAAGUGAUUUCAGUCCAAAACAACAUACCUGUGACAUUCCAUUAGUGACAGCUGGUCUCAAUACCGACUUAUUCUGUCGAUUAAUACAUGGGCAAUUGGCUUUUAUACCCCAUUUGCCUCGUGCUGCAUGAACCAUGUCUCCAAUAUUGUAAAGAGCUGUACCAGGAAUGAUCUGUGUUGGCAUAAGGUUUUCUGGUUCAUGAGACUGACCCUUUGCACAUUUCAGCCACGAGAAGACUUCCUCAUCACCAAUCUCCUCUGUCUCACUACGUGGACGAUUCUUCCUCAGCCGAUAACAGUCCAGACAGACCCCAAACCCGCACUUGCGACAAACCCAAUGAAUAUUGAAUAGAGUUGUCUCACAUACAUCACACAUCUCCCGCACACCGCGUACUGCUCGCUUCCACGCCACUUUCUGAUGUGGCUCCACCAUCAUCAUUGCUUCCUUUUCUG
RNAcentral lists this long non-coding RNA (568 nucleotides) under Gallus gallus (chicken). Lineage: Eukaryota; Metazoa; Chordata; Aves; Galliformes; Phasianidae. The record is from RNAcentral.